Molecule: small nucleolar RNA, 71 nt
Organism: Anser brachyrhynchus (Pink-footed goose)
Lineage: Eukaryota; Metazoa; Chordata; Aves; Anseriformes; Anatidae
Source: Ensembl
CAUCUGUGAUGAUCCUAUCCCGAACCUGAAUUUCUUGUUGAAAACCCUAAUCCGGAUCCGGCAUCUGAGAU